Molecule: unclassified non-coding RNA, 501 nt
Filed under: Hevea brasiliensis (rubber tree)
Lineage: Eukaryota; Viridiplantae; Streptophyta; Magnoliopsida; Malpighiales; Euphorbiaceae
Source: RNAcentral
CAAGAAUCUUCCACAAUCCAGUUUGAUGCUUUUCGAGAAUAAUAAGCUGAUGUAUCUUUAAGCAUUGCAUCUUCAAAGUCAUUUUCAUAGAACUCCAUUUCCCCCAUCCCAAUUUCAACAAAUAUACCUAGCACGUUCUUUAAUAAGGCUCUAUCAAUCUGUUCACCCUCACGUUCUUGAUCAAUCAGCGCUAUAACUGCAUCUCUAGCUUUACUUUUCAACUCUUGAUAAACCAAAUCACGGAAGCACGUCAGACCAACUUCAUUAAGUGCAGGGAGUGACCUUCGAGCAAUAAAAUACCGAUCAAGAUAAUGGAAGAACCGUGAAAGCCACCUGACCAUAAGUUUAUGAUUUGCCCAUCUUUUCACGAGCUCCCUCAGCAUGAACUCGUCGUGCUUCUCUCUCAAAGAAGAUAGAACUGUAGAAUUGAUGUACUCUUCAAAGGCUUCCUUGUAUUUCUCAUAUAACUGCUGAGAGUAAUCAUGAGGGGGCUUCUGUGUA